GCUUUUUCUAGGUCUCAAUUGGUUUUAAAUUUUAAUAAAAGCAGUCGAGAUCUAGAAAAAGAUUA
RNAcentral lists this microRNA precursor (65 nucleotides) under Heliconius melpomene (postman butterfly). RNAcentral describes it as "Hme-Novel-6_pre stem-loop". Lineage: Eukaryota; Metazoa; Arthropoda; Insecta; Lepidoptera; Nymphalidae. The record is from RNAcentral.